Molecule: ribosomal RNA, 1323 nt
Filed under: uncultured bacterium
Lineage: Bacteria
Description: bacterial SSU rRNA
Rfam family: Bacterial small subunit ribosomal RNA
Source: RNAcentral
CUUGCUAAGGCCGAUGGCGACCGGCGCACGGGUGAGUAACACGUAUCCAACCUGCCGUCUACUCUUGGACAGCCUUCUGAAAGGAAGAUUAAUACAAGAUGGCAUCAUGAGUCCGCAUGUUCACAUGAUUAAAGGUAUUCCGGUAGACGAUGGGGAUGCGUUCCAUUAGAUAGUAGGCGGGGUAACGGCCCACCUAGUCUUCGAUGGAUAGGGGUUCUGAGAGGAAGGUCCCCCACAUUGGAACUGAGACACGGUCCAAACUCCUACGGGAGGCAGCAGUGAGGAAUAUUGGUCAAUGGGCGAGAGCCUGAACCAGCCAAGUAGCGUGAAGGAUGACUGCCCUAUGGGUUGUAAACUUCUUUUAUAAAGGAAUAAAGUCGGGUAUGUAUACCCGUUUGCAUGUACUUUAUGAAUAAGGAUCGGCUAACUCCGUGCCAGCAGCCGCGGUAAUACGGAGGAUCCGAGCGUUAUCCGGAUUUAUUGGGUUUAAAGGGAGCGUAGAUGGAUGUUUAAGUCAGUUGUGAAAGUUUGCGGCUCAACCGUAAAAUUGCAGUUGAUACUGGAUAUCUUGAGUGCAGUUGAGGCAGGCGGAAUUCGUGGUGUAGCGGUGAAAUGCUUAGAUAUCACGAAGAACUCCGAUUGCGAAGGCAGCCUGCUAAGCUGCAACUGACAUUGAGGCUCGAAAGUGUGGGUAUCAAACAGGAUUAGAUACCCUGGUAGUCCACACGGUAAACGAUGAAUACUCGCUGUUUGAGAUAUACAGCAAGCGGCCAAGCGAAAGCGUUAAGUAUCCCAACCUGGGGAGUACGCCGGCAACGGUGAAACUCAAAGGAAUUGACGGGGGCCCGCACAAGCGGAGGAACAUGUGGUUUAAUUCGAUGAUACGCGAGGAACCUUACCCGGGCUUAAAUUGCAGAUGAAUUACGGUGAAAGCCGUAAGCCGCAAGGCAUCUGUGAAGGUGCUGCAUGGUUGUCGUCAGCUCGUGCCGUGAGGUGUCGGCUUAAGUGCCAUAACGAGCGCAACCCUUGUUGUCAGUUACUAACAGGUUCCGCUGAGGACUCUGACAAGACUGCCAUCGUAAGAUGUGAGGAAGGUGGGGAUGACGUCAAAUCAGCACGGCCCUUACGUCCGGGGCUACACACGUGUUACAAUGGGGGGUACAGAGGGCCGCUACCACGCGAGUGGAUGCCAAUCCCAAAAACCUCUCUCAGUUCGGACUGGAGUCUGCAACCCGACUCCACGAAGCUGGAUUCGCUAGUAAUCGCGCAUCAGCCACGGCGCGGUGAAUACGUUCCCGGGCCUUGUACACACCGCCCGUCAAG